RNAcentral lists this unclassified non-coding RNA (2733 nucleotides) under Leishmania donovani. RNAcentral's name for it is "gene:LdHU3.34.0520(CDS-product:deoxyhypusine_synt hase)". The record is from RNAcentral. Lineage: Eukaryota; Euglenozoa; Kinetoplastea; Trypanosomatida; Trypanosomatidae.
ACACGCCCCACCGCGGCAGCGUCAUACCCGUGCCUCUCGCAAGCAAAGGCGCACUCAGCACGCUCACACGCACGCAGCGAGGCGGUGAGACAGAGAGACAGGCAGCCGUAAAACAAAAAGGGAAAAUAUUUAGAUGUGACGCAUGGCGAAUAUUGCGGAAUCUGCCGUGCUGGUGUCCUCGGCCUCCUCGGCGCAGGCGGUCGCGAAGCUGACACAAGUUCGGGGCCCCACGUCGGGCUUCGACAAGGCCCAACACAUCAUCGGUUCCUACUCAACGAUGGGAUUCCAGGCGACAAACUACGGCCUCGCCCGCUCCAUCGCCCAGCGCAUGAUUCGAAAGCAGCCCCCUUCGAAGGUGUAUCAGAUAAAGGAUGGCAAGUACGUACUGGUGCCGCCCGAUGUCGGCGAGGACGGGAAGACGUUGCAGCAAGAGCAUGUCUACCCGAACCUGUUCAUGGGUGUGACUGCCAACCUCAUGGGCACUGGCUGUCGCGAGGCGGUUCGCUUUCUUGUGCAGGAGGGUGUUGUCCAUCGCUCGCUCGAAGCGUCUGCUCCCGCGUCAGCAGACGGAACAGACGACCAGCUAAUGUUUGCGCGACUCAAGAGGGAGUACGUCGAGACGUACGGUGGCCCUCCACACCCGGAUGAGGAGAUACCUCGCGCUCACAGCUUCCUGUGCGCCAUCGUCGUGAGCGGCGGUGGUGUGGAGCACGACCUGCGCCGCGCCUGCACGGCUUACACACUGCACCACUACGCCAGCGAAGCACAAGGACAUGUAAGCAGUACUGUAUCCUCGGAGGCCACAGCGCCGCCGAAAGGCCUACAGCAGAGGGCGGAAAAGCCUCUCGGCACUCGCGCGGCGGCCGGCACAGCGAAGCCAGCGCGCUUCGGCAACGUCGAGUAUCCGCGGCAGGGCAGCACCGGCUCUGAGCUAUUCGACUGCCUCAUGCGCACAUUUGUUCAGCGCCUCUGCGCCCGCCAGGCGCGGUUGCGCGCAGCUGCUAUGGCGAAGCCGAUUCCUGACAAGUACGACGACGUGUGUAGCUGGUCCGUCACCCCCAGCGAGGUGUGGGCGCUGUGCGGGUUGUGGCUGGUCGACAUGCUCGCGGAGGCGCUAGGGGCUGUGCAGAGUUGCACGUCUCGCUUGACGAGCGGUUCUGCGGUGGGCACUGCAGAAUCCGUCACCGCGAACGGGAAGGGGCCGGAAGCAGAUCGAGAUGCACACAUUGCUACAUCGGCGUCGUAUCGUGCGGAAGCACUCGCCAGGGCACGCACAACUGUCGUCUACUGGGCAGCCCUGCAGCAAGUCUCUCUGUUCAGCCCCUCCUUCGUCGACGGCGACAUCACGAGCUACCUGUUGCCCACGCCUGCCCCGGCAGCCCGUCCUGCGCACCGAAAAGGCGGCUCAGUUGCGGACGAGAACGCCGGCAAUUCGAAGGAGUUGAAGAGAAGUCGAAAAGCCUCCUCGUCUUCGUCCACGUCGGCCACCGCGGUGAAGGUCAAGCCUCCGGUGGUGGAGCGCCUGCAGGUCGAUCUCGUCCGUGACGUGUACUCGAUCAACAAGCUCGCCAUGCUCAGCAAGAAGACGGGCAUGCUCAUCUGUGGUGGUGGUGUCGUGAAGCAUCACGUAUGUAACGCCAACCUCAUGCGCAACGGCGCCGACUUCACCAUCAUCCUGAGCAACGGGCAGGAGUUCGACGGCUCUGACGCCGGUGCCAAACCCGAGGAGGCACUUUCGUGGGGGAAGGUACGGAUGGAGGGGGCGUUCGUGAAGGUGUACGGAGAGGUCAGCACGUACCUCCCGCUCCUGCUGGCGGAAGUCUUCGUGCCCGCGGUGCGGCAGCGUAGGGCAACGGACGACGCGCAGCCGUGCAGGAAGCGAUCCUCGCGAGGCGCGCGUCCGCCGCAAGACGUCUCCGGGCACUCCCACCCGUGUCUUGGAGAAUGAUGUCGGGACGCGAAAGGCCGGAGUGGGCUGGUGGCGCGCGCGCGUGGGGUCUGGUCUCGCUUACGUGCGCGUUCAGAGAAAAGAAGGGGGAAGUGUAUUGAAUGGGGUGCAUGCGGCGCGGGGCCAUGCGGCGCUCCGUCGCUCCACGCCUUCCCGCCUUCCUACGCGCCUCCGUCGGUUCGCCGUCGCCACCGCCAUCUCUGUCCUUUGGCGCUCUAGCGCAGAGCCAUUCCUCCAUCACUGCUGCACACAAGGGCACACGCAGGGCAGCAGCACCCAUACCCGGAAGCGUGGAGGGGGUCAGCGGUGCAUCAAGCCAGUGCGCGCGUGUUCAGUAACGCGCAUCGAGAGAAGGUUCACGGCACUCUUUCUCUUCGUGGGCGACAAGAGGGCUCCUACGCCUUGCUGAUCUUUUCCUUUUCUCGAAUCUAAGCCAGCCAUCGAUGCGGACGGCCGUGCGAGUCGCACCGAUGGAAGGGGCGAAUCGCAUCGCGCGAGCAUAAACAGCGACAGCAGGUAAAGCAAAGGAAAGACACACAGGAAGGACAUGGCCGAUCCCGUAGCAGAUGCAAGGCGCACCAGCUUUUACGAGGUUGCGGCGCGCGCAUAAUUGCCCCUCAUACACCCCUCCCCCUCCCACGCGCGCCAGCGGAAUUCAUGAGGAGAUGGCUCGGUGGGGAGUGGCUCUUGGGCGGUGAAAAGCGUGGGGGUGGGGGGCGGAAUAGGGGAGAAAGGGUAUUGCCCACUGGAAGGGCAUCGAAGCGAGCAGAGCGCUAAAAGAGUUG